AGAGUUUGAUCAUGGCUCAGAGCGAACGCUGGCGGCAGGCUUAACACAUGCAAGUCGAGCGGGCCCUUCGGGGUCAGCGGCGGACGGGUGAGUAACGCGUGGGAACGUGCCUUCUGGUUCGGAAUAACCCUGGGAAACUAGGGCUAAUACCGGAUACGCCCUUUUGGGGAAAGGUUUACUGCCGGAAGAUCGGCCCGCGUCUGAUUAGCUAGUUGGUGGGGUAACGGCCUACCAAGGCGACGAUCAGUAGCCUGGUCUGAGAGGGGUGGUCAGGGGGGGCCUGGAUAAC
This 289-nucleotide ribosomal RNA is filed under the name uncultured Methylobacterium sp. Its description in RNAcentral is "partial 16S ribosomal RNA". It matches the Rfam family "Bacterial small subunit ribosomal RNA", at positions 8 to 327 of the family's 1533-position model. The record is from RNAcentral. Lineage: Bacteria; Pseudomonadati; Pseudomonadota; Alphaproteobacteria; Hyphomicrobiales; Methylobacteriaceae.